UUGCUUUGGCAGCACAUAUACCAACAUUGAAAUGAUACAGAGAAAAUAAUCAUGGCCCAAUGCAAGGGUGACAAGCAAAUUCAUGUUUUU
Ailuropoda melanoleuca (giant panda) is the source of this 90-nucleotide small nuclear RNA. Lineage: Eukaryota; Metazoa; Chordata; Mammalia; Carnivora; Ursidae. The record is from Ensembl.